Long non-coding RNA from Terrapene triunguis (Three-toed box turtle), 271 nucleotides. RefSeq lists it as uncharacterized. NCBI's taxonomy places the organism in Eukaryota, Metazoa, Chordata, Testudines, Emydidae. The record is from RefSeq and is a predicted model, not a curated record. The transcript has 3 exons.
GGGGGGGAUGUGUAAGUUUCAUUUGCUUCCUAGUUAAAUGCAGCUCGGAGCCGCCGGCCGGCCCGCGGCAGGAGACACAGUCCACGCCUGAGCAGAGGAGAAAGAGGAACCAGGAAGGUAGAGGUUGACAAUCAGCCCUUUCGAGGCCAUUGGAAGAGCGGGCGGAAAGGAAAAAUAGGUGAGGAAGGGGCUUUUCUCCUGCCCCAGGCAUCUGAAAUCGGAACCAAACCAAAAAUCGCCAGGCAAGAUGAAAACUUUUGUUUUGUUUCAA